Molecule: ribosomal RNA, 253 nt
Filed under: uncultured bacterium
Lineage: Bacteria
Description: partial 16S ribosomal RNA
Rfam family: Bacterial small subunit ribosomal RNA
Source: RNAcentral
UACGAAGGGGGCUAGCGUUGCUCGGAAUCACUGGGCGUAAAGGGUGCGUAGGCGGGUCCUUAAGUCAGGGGUGAAAUCCUGGAGCUCAACUCCAGAACUGCCUUUGAUACUGAGGAUCUUGAGUUCGGGAGAGGUGAGUGGAACUGCGAGUGUAGAGGUGAAGUUCGUAGAUAUUCGCAAGAACACCAGUGGCGAAGGCGGCUCACUGGCCCGAUACUGACGCUGAGGCACGAAAGCGUGGGGAGCAAACAGG